Molecule: ribosomal RNA, 465 nt
Filed under: uncultured bacterium
Lineage: Bacteria
Description: partial 16S ribosomal RNA
Rfam family: Bacterial small subunit ribosomal RNA
Source: RNAcentral
GACGAACGCUGGCGGCGUGCUUAACACAUGCAAGUCGUACGGUAAGGCCCUUUCGGGGGUCCACGAGUGGCGAACGGGUGAGUAACACGUGAGUAACCUUCCCACAACUUUGGGAUAACGCUAGGAAACUGGUGCUAAUACUGGAUAUGUGCUCCUGCUGCAUGGUGGGGGUUGGAAAGCUCCGGCGGUUGUGGAUGGACUCGCGGCCUAUCAGCUUGUUGGUGGGGUAGUGGCCUACCAAGGCGGCGACGGGUAGCCGGCCUGAGAGGGUGACCGGCCACAUUGGGACUGAGGGACGGCACAGGCACCGACGGGAGGGAGAAGGGGGGAAUAUUGCACAAGGGGCGCCAGCCGGAUGCAGCAGCGCCGCGGGCGGGAAGACGGCCUUAGGGUUGAAAACCGAUUUCAGCAGGGACGAAGCUUUUUGUGACGGUACCUGCAGAAGAAGCACCGGCUAACUACGUG